RNAcentral lists this ribosomal RNA (985 nucleotides) under Thermales bacterium 01QDU. Its description in RNAcentral is "bacterial SSU rRNA". It matches the Rfam family "Bacterial small subunit ribosomal RNA", at positions 55 to 1076 of the family's 1533-position model. Lineage: Bacteria; Thermotogati; Deinococcota; Deinococci; Thermales. The record is from RNAcentral.
AUGCAAGUCGAACGGGCUGUUUAUGCAGCCAGUGGCGGACGGGUGAGUAACACGUAGGUGACCUACCCCAAAGUCUGGGACAACUAGGAGAAAUCUUAGCUAAUCCUGGAUGUGGACAUCUACUUUGGUGGAUGUUUAAAGCUUCGGCGCUUUGGGAUGGGCCUGCGGCGCAUCAGGUAGUUGGUGGGGUAAUGGCCUACCAAGCCGACGACGCGUAGCUGGUCUGAGAGGACGAUCAGCCACAGGGGUACUGAGACACGGACCCCACUCCUACGGGAGGCAGCAGUUAGGAAUCUUCCGCAAUGGGCGAAAGCCUGACGGAGCGAUACCGCUUGAAGGACGAAGCCCUUCGGGGUGUAAACUUCUGAACUCGGGACGAUAAUGACGGUACCGAGGUAAUAGCACCGGCUAACUCCGUGCCAGCAGCCGCGGUAAUACGGAGGGUGCGAGCGUUACCCGGAUUUACUGGGUGUAAAGGGCGUGUAGGCGGUCUCUCAAGUCCGAUGCUAAAGACCGAAGCUCAACUUCGGGGGUGCGUUGGAUACUGUGAGGCUAGACGGUCGGAGAGGGUAGCGGAAUUUCCGGAGUAGCGGUGAAAUGCGCAGAUACCGGAAGGAACGCCGAUAGCGAAAGCAGCUACCUGGACGAUUUGUGACGCUGAGGCGCGAAAGCGUGGGGAGCAAACCGGAUUAGAUACCCGGGUAGUCCACGCCCUAAACGAUGAGUGCUGGGUGUCCGACAUCUGUUGGGUGCCGUAGCUAACGCGUUAAGCACUCCACCUGGGAAGUACGGUCGCAAGACUGAAACUCAAAGGAAUUGACGGGGGCCCGCACAAGCGGUGGAGCAUGUGGUUUAAUUCGAAGCAACGCGCAGAACCUUACCAGGUCUUGACAUCCUGGGAACCCUGGUGAAAGCCGGGGGUGCCCGCAAGGGAGCCCAGAGACAGGUGCUGCAUGGUCGUCGUCAGCUCGUGUCGUGAGAUGUU